CCUGAGUACGACGGAGCACGUGAAAUUCCGUCGGAAUCUGGGAGGACCAUCUCCUAAGGCUAAAUACUCUCUAGUGACCGAUAGUGAACCAGUACCGUGAGGGAAAGGUGAAAAGUACCCCGGAAGGGGAGUGAAAGAGAACUUGAAACCGUGUGCUUACAAGUAGUCAGAGCCCGUUAAUGGGUGAUGGCGUGCCUUUUGUAGAAUGAACCGGCGAGUUACGAUCUGAUGCAAGGUUAAGCAGAAAAUGUGGAGCCGUAGCGAAAGCGAGUCUGAAUAGGGCGAAUGAGUAUUUGGUCGUAGACCCGAAACCAGGUGAUCUACCCUUGGUCAGGUUGAAGUUCAGGUAACACUGAAUGGAGGACCGAACCGACUUACGUUGAAAAGUGAGCGGAUGAACUGAGGGUAGCGGAGAAAUUCCAAUCGAACUUGGAGAUAGCUGGUUCUCUCCGAAAUAGCUUUAGGGCUAGCCUCAAGUGAUGAUUAUUGGAGGUAGAGCACUGUUUGGACGAGGGGCCCCUCUCGGGUUACCGAAUUCAGACAAACUCCGAAUGCCAAAUAAUUUAACUUGGGAGUCAGAAUGUGGGUGAUAAGGUCCAUAUUCGAAAGGGAAACAGCCCAGACCACCAGCUAAGGUCCCAAAAUAUAUGUUAAGUGGAAAAGGAUGUGGCGUUGCCCAGACAACUAGGAUGUUGGCUUAGAAGCAGCCAUCAUUUAAAGAGUGCGUAAUAGCUCACUAGUCGAGUGACACUGCGCCGAAAAUGUACCGGGGCUAAACAUAUUACCGAAGCUGUGGAUUGUCCUUUGGACAAUGGUAGGAGAGCGUUCUAAGGGCGUUGAAGCAUGAUCGCAAGGACAUGUGGAGCGCUUAGAAGUGAGAAUGCCGGUGUGAGUAGCGAAAGACGGGUGAGAAUCCCGUCCACCGAUUGACUAAGGUUUCCAGAGGAAGGCUCGUCCGCUCUGGGUUAGUCGGGUCCUAAGCUGAGGCCGACAGGCGUAGGCGAUGGAUAACAGGUUGAUAUUCCUGUACCACCAUUAUUCGUUUUAAGCGAUGGGGGGACGCAGUAGGAUAGGCGAAGCGUGCUGUUGGAGUGCACGUCCAAGCAGUGAGAUUGAGUGUUAGGCAAAUCCGGCACUCUUAAGAUUGAGCUGUGAUGGGGAGAGGAACU
Molecule: ribosomal RNA, 1169 nt
Filed under: Staphylococcus pseudintermedius
Lineage: Bacteria; Bacillati; Bacillota; Bacilli; Caryophanales; Staphylococcaceae
Description: partial 23S ribosomal RNA
Rfam family: Bacterial large subunit ribosomal RNA
Source: RNAcentral